RNAcentral lists this ribosomal RNA (932 nucleotides) under Soehngenia sp. RNAcentral's name for it is "bacterial SSU rRNA". It matches the Rfam family "Bacterial small subunit ribosomal RNA", at positions 543 to 1474 of the family's 1533-position model. The record is from RNAcentral. Lineage: Bacteria; Bacillati; Bacillota; Tissierellia; Tissierellales; Tissierellaceae.
GUCCGGAAUUACUGGGCGUAAAGAGUUCGUAGGCGGUCUGAUAAGUCAGAUGUGAAAGGCGUAGGCUUAACCUAUGUAAGCAUAUGAAACUGUCAGACUUGAGGUAAGGAGAGGAAAGUGGAAUUCCUAGUGUAGCGGUGAAAUGCGUAGAUAUUAGGAGGAAUACCAGUGGCGAAGGCGACUUUCUGGACUUAAACUGACGCUGAGGAACGAAAGCGUGGGGAGCAAACAGGAUUAGAUACCCUGGUAGUCCACGCCGUAAACGAUGAGUGCUAGGUGUCGGGUAGAAAUAUUCGGUGCCGCAGCUAACGCAAUAAGCACUCCGCCUGGGGAGUACGUACGCAAGUAUGAAACUCAAAGGAAUUGACGGGGACCCGCACAAGCAGCGGAGCAUGUGGUUUAAUUCGAAGCAACGCGAAGAACCUUACCAGGGCUUGACAUGCCCCUGACAUCACUAGAGAUAGUGAGUUAUCCUUUCGGGGAUACAGGGGACACAGGUGGUGCAUGGUUGUCGUCAGCUCGUGUCGUGAGAUGUUGGGUUAAGUCCCGCAACGAGCGCAACCCUUGUAUUUAGUUGCCAGCAUUAAGUUGGGCACUCUAGAUAGACUGCCGUGGACAACACGGAGGAAGGUGGGGAUGACGUCAAAUCAUCAUGCCCUUUAUGUCCUGGGCUACACACGUGCUACAAUGGUCGGUACAACGAGCAGCAAGCUAGCGAUAGCAAGCGAAUCUCUAAAAGCCGAUCCCAGUUCGGAUUGUAGGCUGCAACUCGCCUACAUGAAGUCGGAGUUGCUAGUAAUCGCGAAUCAGCAUGUCGCGGUGAAUGCGUUCCCGGGUCUUGUACACACCGCCCGUCACACCAUGGGAGUUGUCAAUACCCGAAGCCAGUGAGCUAACCAGAAAUGGAGGCAGCUCUGAAGUAGGGCAUGCGA